Molecule: ribosomal RNA, 333 nt
Filed under: Symbiodinium sp. Pd44b/clade C3
Lineage: Eukaryota; Dinophyceae; Suessiales; Symbiodiniaceae
Also listed under: 2 other names
Description: eukaryotic LSU rRNA
Rfam family: 5.8S ribosomal RNA (bases 1-86)
Source: RNAcentral
GAAUUGCAGAACUCCGUGAACCAAUGGCCUCCUGAACGUACGUUGCACUCUUGGGAUUUCCUGAGAGUAUGUCUGCUUCAGUGCUUAGCUUGCCCAAUCUUGCGGACAGAUUGUGUUUCUGUCUUGCGCCCCUGUGAGCCAUUGAAUGUCUACUCAGUGGCUUAUUGAAUGAUUUGGUCUUGCAAAAGCUUUGCGCGCUGCUAUUCAAGAUUCCACCUUAAAGUGGUAUUGCUUGAGUGACGCUGCUUAUGCUUGCAGCUGCUGGGAUGCUAGCGCAUGCCUCUAGCAUGAAGUCAGACAAGCGAACCCGCUGAACUUAAGCAUAUGGAUCCC